RNAcentral lists this long non-coding RNA (4538 nucleotides) under Solanum tuberosum (potato). Its description in RNAcentral is "long non-coding RNA (STUB_LNC004409)". Lineage: Eukaryota; Viridiplantae; Streptophyta; Magnoliopsida; Solanales; Solanaceae. The record is from RNAcentral.
UGGUGCAAUGUAUCCAAGAGUGCCCAAUGUCUCUGUAUAAGCCAUGGACUUGCUUAUCGCUAAAAUUUUAGAGAUGCCAAAAUCACCAACAUGAGCCACCAUAUCUUCAUCCAAAAGAACGUUGGCUGGCUUUAGGUCGCAAUGAAACUAUUGGAGUGUUAUCUCCAUGGUGUAGAUAUUCAAUUGCCACAGCCACAUCAAGCAUUAUGGCGACUCUUUGAAGAAGGUUUAAGUUGGACUCUUCUCUGUACAACCAAUUCUCAAGACUCCCAUUUGACAUAUAUUGCAGAACAAAGGCUCUUAUGUAGUCACUAGAACAAGUAGUAAUCAACGGAACAAGAUUUCUAUGUCUAACAUUUCUCAUCACUUCGCAUUUGGUGUCAAACCUUUUGCAUACUUCCUCACUUUGCAAAUCCACAACCUUAAUGGCCACCAAAGUUCCACCAGGUAAAGUGCCUUUGUACACAGAGCCAGAACCUCCCACACCAAUUAAAUUUGAUUCAUCAAAAUUAUUUGUUGCUAGUUGAAUCUCGUGAUAAGAAACUAAUUGAGGAGUCCUGAUCUCCGGUACCUUUUCAACAUCUUUGGACUUUCCUUUCUUCUGUCGUUUCAUUAUCCAAAUUGAAACCAACAAGAAUAUCAGCAAGGAUGAAAUAACCACUGGAGUAGCAAUUUUUAGCACAACCCCCUUAAGCUUUGAUUGUUUUCCAGGAUAAGUGAUAGCACAAGCAGGAAUCUCCAAAUAGACCUUUGUUCCCAAGAAAUGAUUGCAGAGUGGAAUUUGCAAACACACCACCACUCUGUAUUACACCUUCUAAAUCAUUAAAUGAAACAUUAAUGCUUUUAAAGACAAAUUCAAGAAUUCCAAGCUCGUCAAGUUGGCAAGGGAUCAUGGAAUUUGUCCAAAAAAUGAGUUGUUUGAUAGGACAAGAGACUGCAGGUUUAGAAGUUCUCCCAAUCUGCUUGAUAACAUUCCUGAAAAGUGAUUACUGGAAAGAUCUAGCGCUAUAAUGACUUUAAGUUCUCCAAUAUCUGAUGGAACUUCUCCCUCUAAAGAAUUUUGUGACACAUUUAGAAAGAGAAGGCCACUCAUUUUCCAAAGGUUUGAUGGAAAUUUUGAUGAAAAUUUAUUAGAACCCAAAUAAAGAUAUUGUAGCAUGCUAAGAUUUCCUAAGCAUUCUGGAAUUAAUCCAGAGAGCUCAUUAACUUGCAGAGUUAAUUUAACCAAAUUAGAUAAUUGGCAUACUGCCUUUGGAAUAUGUCCCUGCAAUUUAUUGUUAGUUAGAUACAACCCUUGGAGUUGUUUAAGCUUACCAAUCUCAGGAGGAAUACUCCCUGUCAAGUUGUUUCCUUCAAUGAUUAGGGUUGUAAGACCGCUCACGUUGCCUAUACUUGUGGGGAUGAGGCCAUUGAUGUGUGCAUCUGCUAUAUAAAAGUUUUGAAUAGUAUAUGAAAGAUUCCCAAUAGAAUUGGGCAACACCAUUCAACGGAUUGUUACCCACUUGUAGAUAUUGCAACAUCCUACAGUCCGCCAAAGAAUUGAAGAAUAGCAACUCACGCUGUCUUGGUUCAUUGGCAAGUUGAUUAGUAUGUAGGAGCAGUAUUUGCAGCUCAUGAAGAUUUCCCAAAUUAUUAGGAAUAGUUCCUGUGAGAAAGUUAUUAUUUAGCUCCAGUAUCUCAAGCUUGGAAGCAUUUGUUAUGAACAAUGGAAUUGCCCCUUUGAUCUGGUUGACUCCCAAGUGAAGAUCCUUAAUGUUUGGAAGAUGAAGACCUGUAGUGGUUGGAAUUCUUCCGGAGAGGUUAUUGAAACUGAAAUCAAUAACUUCCAAAGAAGAUAUGUUGAAAAUAGCCUCUGGAAUUUGACCAAUUAGAUUAUAAUUAUUCCUAAAGCAUAAUUGCCGCAAAUUUGAUAGCUUCCCUAAUUGCAGAGGAAUUUACCCCACUAUGCAAUUGUUUCCACAAUAAAGAUAUUGCAGAGUGGAAAUAUUUCCCAAUGAUGUGGGAAUAGUCCCUUUCGUUGGAUUAUCACCAAUUAAGAACUUUUUGAGCUUGGAUAAACAAUCAAUAUUUCUGGGUAUUUCUCCAGUUAUGUUGUUGUAAGAUAUGGACAAAACUUCGAGCUCUGUGAGUUGGCAUAUGUUGGAAGGAAUGCAACCAGACCAUAUCUAGAGGUGGAACCAAGUGAACAGGAGGUCAUGCAUUCUAAGACAUUUCAUAUGAACUCUUAUAGAAACCACACCGAACCAAGUGAACGGGAGGUCAUGCAGUCCAAGACAAGUUUGGAAAAAAGCAUGUUGCUUGACCAACCAUAUCUAGAGGCGGAUCCAUGAUAUAAAGUUUAUAAAUUUUUAUUAUGAUUUAUAUUAAUAUACAAUAAUAAAUGGAUUUUCAUAGUCAAAUAUUAAUAAUUAUUUUGUUAAUUUCUCAAUACAAAUAACUAGUAAUUUGAGCUCACAUUUUAUCGACUUUUCGAGCUUCAAUUUCAAGGAAAUUGAUACUUUAUAUAUCUUUUAUCUUCAAUUCUUCUUGCUUGGUGGUCCCCAAAUCAAGAAUUUGUUUGCAUACUUCUUUACAUUAAACUUGAAUGAAAACACAAUCAUUCGCUCAACACACUAAACUAAAGAAUGUGGGGUUUGAAGUACAAGAGACAGUUCAUUUUUGUGUCAAUCAAAUUCAAUGUCAAGAUGUAUUUAUUUUUACCUCUAUUGCUCCUCCAAGACAUGAAUGAUAUCCAUGAAUCUAUUUCAAGGUCUUUACCUUACAAAACUCGCAGAAAAAUAUAUUUUAGGUGUUUUUUUACCAUUACCUCUUGAUUUUUUGCUAAGUCUACACGGAUUCUAAGAAUAUAAUUGAAUUGAUUCAUCAAAUCUGUCUGUUAUAUUCCUAUAUAGUUCUGUUCCCUUUUCCACUUCAUCCAAACACAUUUUGCAUCUAACCUUAGUUCUUUUGGUUAUCUCUUUCAAGUUUCCGGCCUUCAACAGGUCUCACAUCACUAAAAUAGUGUCCGAGAUGCAUCUUCCAGCUAGUAUAACAUGUUUUUUUAGUGAAAAUAGCAAACAGUAAGUUAAUUUUUUUGAAAUUAUAAAAGCUGACUUUAUUCACAUAUUUGCAAUCAUUCAUUAUGCAAUUAUUAAAACUUACCUAGUCCAACUAAUGUCAACAACCCUCUUUAUUGCUAUAAAUAUGUUAACAACCCUCUUUAAUGCUGUCAAUUCUAUGUACUACUUUUUGAAAUUUCAAAGAAAUUCAUUUUUUUCUACUAUGGGAAAAAGGAGAAGUAAUAAAUGGUGAGGGAAUCUUACUAUCUCGAUUGAUUGACUUUCUACUAACUCUUUCACCUUAUUGGUGAGAAUUUGAUUCAGCACAUUGUAAUUCCUGUGAGCCCAUCUAACUUAUAUGGAUUGACGUGAACACAUAUCACGUAAGUUAGAUCUGCCCCUGACCACAUCACAACUUGCAUUGAUCAUAAAUUAAUAUUGCAAUAUCUGAGAGCAGAAUAUUCAAACAAUAAUAAUAAUUACGUCUCAAUUCCGAACAAGUGAGCGAAAUUUAUAGAAAAUAAUCUAAAAAAUCAAUUGCACCAACCAACCUAUAAAGAGAUGAUAUAUUACCACUUCCUCGGAACAAUGCCUUUCUUCUCCAAAAUGCAACACUCUAAAGUAUAAACAAUACAUGACUUCGAGUAGUACAUACGCCUUUACUAAAGAAACCAGUAAACAAAAAGCAACAAGUUAACUUGCAGAUCAGAAAGAGAUGCUGAUCACUUCUACAUUUCCAAAAAUGUGUUCUUGAUUUUGUUAAGCCUCUUGACUACUUCUUUCAUGGUUACUCUUGAUUCUGGCAUUUUCUUUGUGCAGUCUAAAGCCAAUUCUAUCAUGGAGGCUAUGCACAUUUCACUUUUACAAGUAAUUUGUUCUUCCUCAGAAAAAAGAUUAGCAUCCACAACAUCCAUCAUACUCCCUGAAAAUGAUUGUGUUAUCCAUUUCCUCAGGUCAAGAUUUUCAUUGCAUAUAUCUUCAUCUGUUGGCCGUCUUUUGGUCAAAACCUCCAUCAACAUAAUGCCAUAACUAUAAACAUCACCACUAGCGGACACUAUUCCCUCCGAGCCAUAUUCUUAGAAAAGAAUUGAAGAAAAGUUACUCAAUUGAAAUACAACAAUAAUUCUGCAUAAAUAAAUCCUUGCUUUUUCUUACUUGUAGAAUUUAGAGAGGUUUAAUUAUGAUAAGAGAAAAUCAAAGAGGGUAGAUUUUUUAUACCUGGUGCAAUGUAUCCAAGAGUACCCAAUGUCUCGGUAUAGGCCAUGGACUUGCUUAUAGCUAAAAUUUUAGAGAUUCCAAAAUCACCAACAUGAGCCACCAUAUCUUCAUCCAAAAGAACGUUGGCUGGCUUUAGGUCGCAAUGAACUAUUGGAGCAACAUGACAAUGAUGUAGAUAUUCAACUGCCAUAGCUGCAUCAAGCAUUACAGUUACUCUUUGAUGAAGGUUCAAGUGGCGAUCUUCUUUGUACAGCCAAUUCUCAAGACUUCCAUUGGGCAUAA